Molecule: transfer RNA, 72 nt
Filed under: Ideopsis similis (Ceylon blue glassy tiger)
Lineage: Eukaryota; Metazoa; Arthropoda; Insecta; Lepidoptera; Nymphalidae
Description: tRNA-Lys
Source: RNAcentral
CAUUUAGAUGUCUGAAAGCAAGAAUUGGUCUCUUAAACCACAUAAUAGUAAUUUAGCAUCUACUUCUAAUGA